GGAUCAGGUAGGGAUACC
Molecule: ribosomal RNA, 18 nt
Filed under: Aspergillus niger
Lineage: Eukaryota; Fungi; Ascomycota; Eurotiomycetes; Eurotiales; Aspergillaceae
Description: partial 28S ribosomal RNA
Source: RNAcentral